This 462-nucleotide ribosomal RNA is filed under the name uncultured bacterium. RNAcentral describes it as "partial 16S ribosomal RNA". It matches the Rfam family "Bacterial small subunit ribosomal RNA", at positions 339 to 795 of the family's 1533-position model. The record is from RNAcentral.
CUACGGGGCGCACCAGUAGGGAAUUUUCGGCAAUGGGCGCAAGCCUGACCGAGCAACGCCGCGUGAGUGAUUAAGGCCUUCGGGUUGUAAAGCUCUGUUGUAAAGGAAGAACGAUCAGUAUAGGAAUGAUACUGAUGUGACGGUACUUUACCAGAAAGCCACGGCUAACUACGUGCCAGCAGCCGCGGUAAUACGUAGGUGGCAAGCGUUAUCCGGAAUUAUUGGGCGUAAAGGGAGCGUAGGCGGUUUAUUAAGUCUAUGGUGAAAGUGGGGGGCUCAACCCCGUAUGGCCAUAGAAACUGAUAGACUAGAGUGCAGAAGAGGGUAGUGGAAUUCCAUGUGUAGCGGUAAAAUGCGUAGAUAUAUGGAGGAACACCGGUGGCGAAGGCGGCUACCUGGUCUGUUACUGACGCUGAGGCUCGAAAGCGUGGGGAGCAAAUAGGAUUAGAUACCCUUGUAGUC